This 314-nucleotide long non-coding RNA is filed under the name Phoenix dactylifera (date palm). RNAcentral's name for it is "long non-coding RNA (PDAC_LNC005243)". The record is from RNAcentral. Lineage: Eukaryota; Viridiplantae; Streptophyta; Magnoliopsida; Arecales; Arecaceae.
CUAGAUACUAGACCGAACCAUCAGACGCAUGCGCACAAGAGUACCACACUGACUUUAUUUUGUCGGCGACCAUGAUAUAUAGGAUUGCUAUCAAACAACAUUUAGCAAUCAGUCCAACGCAAGGAUCGAACCCUAAAUCUCGCUUUCAAAUGGAGUAUAAUGCCAAUAUGCUAAGCUAAGACAGUCCAUUCGAAAAAGAAAAAAAAAGCUAAGCUAGAACAGGUGGGUCCUUUACAUAGAAACGAAGUAUCUUAACAAUCACAUCCAUGCAGUGAUUUAUGUUGAAUGUUGUUCUCUAAUACGGGCUGCAUUAA